This 406-nucleotide ribosomal RNA is filed under the name uncultured bacterium. RNAcentral's name for it is "partial 16S ribosomal RNA". It matches the Rfam family "Bacterial small subunit ribosomal RNA", at positions 30 to 526 of the family's 1533-position model. The record is from RNAcentral.
AUUGAACGCUGGCGGCAGGCCUAACACAUGCAAGUCGAACGAGUGGCGGACGGGUGAGUAAUGUCUGGGAAACUGCCCGAUGGAGGGGGAUAACUACUGGAAACGGUAGCUCAUACCGCAUACCAUCGGAUGUGCCCAGAUGGUCUUAGCUAGUAGGUGGGGUAACGGCUCACCUAGGCGACGAUCCCUAGCUGGUCUGAUAGGAUGACCAGCCACACUGUAACUGAGACACGGUCCAGACUCCGAUGGGAUGCAGCAGUGGGGAAUAUUGCACAAUGGGCGCAAGCCUGAUGCAGCCAUGCCGCGUGUAUGAAGAAGGCCUUCGGGUGGUAAAGUACUUUCAGCGAGGAGGCGUUACUCGCAGAAGAAGCACCGGCUAACUCCGUGCCAGCAGCCGCGGUAAUAC